GGCUGGUCCGAGUGCAGUGGUGCUUACAAUUAAUUGAUCACAGCCAGUUACAGAUUUCUUUGUUCCUUCUCCACUCCCACUGCUUCACUUGACUAGCCUUUU
Y RNA from Ailuropoda melanoleuca (giant panda), 102 nucleotides. It matches the Rfam family "Y RNA". From Rfam's summary of the family: Y RNAs are components of the Ro ribonucleoprotein particle (Ro RNP), in association with Ro60 and La proteins. The Y RNAs and Ro60 and La proteins are well conserved, but the function of the Ro RNP is not known. The record is from Ensembl. NCBI's taxonomy places the organism in Eukaryota, Metazoa, Chordata, Mammalia, Carnivora, Ursidae.